AGCUUUGCGCAGUGGCAAUAUCGUAGCCAAUGAGGUUUAUCUGAGGCACGAUUAUUGCUAAUUAAGUCCUUAAAAAAAAAAGUCUAUUUUAAAGCAUGUUCUUUAAGAUGACCACUGUUAGAUACAAUUAGAUGU
This is a small nuclear RNA of Lutra lutra (Eurasian river otter), 135 nucleotides long. RefSeq annotates it as U4 spliceosomal RNA. NCBI's taxonomy places the organism in Eukaryota, Metazoa, Chordata, Mammalia, Carnivora, Mustelidae. The record is from RefSeq and is a predicted model, not a curated record. The transcript has a single exon.